UCGCUAGGUCUUGGAAGAGCUUAGUGUUCUGUCAGGGCCGCAGGGAAGCCGUUAAGCGAGCCGCCUGGGGAGUACGGCUGCAAGGCUGAAACUUAAAGGAAUUGGCGGGGGAGCACCACAAGGGGUGAAGCCUGCGGUUUAAUUGGAGUCAACGCCGGGAACCUUACCAGGGGUGACGGCAGAGUGAUGGUCAGGCUAAAGACCUUACCUGACGAGCCGAGAGGAGGUGCAUGGCCGUCGCCAGCUCGUGCUGUGAAGUGUCCUGUUAAGUCAGGCAACGAGCGAGACCCCUGCCGUUAGUUGCUUUUUGUUUCCGAAAGGUAAUGGGAGGAAACUAACGGGACCGCCGCCGAUAAGGCGGAGGAAGGUGGGGGCUACGGCAGGUCAGUAUGCCCCGAAACCCCUGGGCCACACGCGGGCUGCAAUGGUGGAGACAAUGGGAGCCAAACUCGAAAGAGCGAGGAAAUCCCGAAACUCCACCGUAGUAGGGAUUGAGGGCUGAAACCCGCCCUCAUGAACCUGGAAUCCCUAGUAAUCGCGGGUCACUAUCCCGCGGUGAAUACGUCCCCGCUCCUUGCACUCACCGCCCG
Molecule: ribosomal RNA, 590 nt
Filed under: uncultured archaeon
Lineage: Archaea
Description: bacterial SSU rRNA
Rfam family: Archaeal small subunit ribosomal RNA
Source: RNAcentral